UGGGGGAUAUUGCACAAUGGGCGAAAGCCUGAUGCAGCGACGCCGCGUGGGGGAUGAAGGCCUUCGGGUUGUAAACUUCUUUUGCUCUGAACAAGGUGCACCGUGGGGUGUGUUGAGUGUAGGGGUUGAUUAGCGCCGGCUAACUACGUGCCAGCAGCCGCGGUAAUACGUAGGGCGCGAGCGUUGUCCGGAAUUAUUGGGCGUAAAGGGCUUGUAGGUGGCUGGUUGCGUCUGUCGUGAAAGCUCAUGGCUUAACUGUGGGUUUGCGGUGGGUACGGGCUGGCUUGAGUGCAGUAGGGGAGGCUGGAAUUCCUGGUGUAGCGGUGGAAUGCGCAGAUAUCAGGAGGAAUACCGGUGGCGAAGGCGGGUCUCUGGGCUGUUACUGACACUGAGGAGCGAAAGCAUGGGGAGCGAACAGG
Molecule: ribosomal RNA, 419 nt
Filed under: Bacteroidota bacterium
Lineage: Bacteria; Pseudomonadati; Bacteroidota
Also listed under: 1 other name
Description: Bacteroidetes bacterium partial 16S ribosomal RNA
Rfam family: Bacterial small subunit ribosomal RNA
Source: RNAcentral